This 76-nucleotide transfer RNA is filed under the name Nocardia stercoris. RNAcentral describes it as "Nocardia sp. NEAU-LL90 tRNA-Arg". Lineage: Bacteria; Bacillati; Actinomycetota; Actinomycetes; Mycobacteriales; Nocardiaceae. The record is from RNAcentral.
UCUCAGGUUCCCGAAGACGGCCCCGGGCCGCCUCCGGAGCAGAAGGUCGCAGGUUCGAAUCCUGCCGAGGGAACCA